Molecule: non-coding RNA, 131 nt
Organism: Sulfurimonas sp.
Lineage: Bacteria; Pseudomonadati; Campylobacterota; Epsilonproteobacteria; Campylobacterales; Sulfurimonadaceae
Source: Rfam
GUACGGUUUCGGUGUGUCUGUGGUUUUGUUUGAGCUUCUUGCGAAGUGAGAGAUUGCAGCCUAAAGAAAAGGUCGAUUCUGCUGAAGUUGGCUUAUUAGGGCCGCUUCUAUCUCGGAACGCCCACCUGGGU